Molecule: ribosomal RNA, 406 nt
Filed under: uncultured bacterium
Lineage: Bacteria
Description: partial 16S ribosomal RNA
Rfam family: Bacterial small subunit ribosomal RNA
Source: RNAcentral
AUUGAACGCUGGCGGCAGGCCUAACACAUGCAAGUCGAACGAGUGGCGGACGGGUGAGUAAUGUCAGGGAAACUGCCUGAUGGAGGGGGAUAACUACUGGAAACGGUAGCUAAUACCGCAUACCAUCAGAUGUGCCCAGAUGGGAUUAGCGUGUUGGUGGGGUAACGGCUCACCAAGGCGACAAUCCCUAGCUGGUCUGAGAGGAUGACCAGACAACAUGGAACUGAAACACGAACUAAGCUCCUACGGGAGGCGGCAGGCGGGAAUAUUGCACAGUGAGCGAGAGUCUGAGGCAGCAAUGCCGCGUGUGUAAGGGACGCCAGCUGGUGGUAAAAUACUUGCUGCGGGAAGGCGAGACCCGCAGAAGGAGCGCCGGCGAACUCCGUGCCAGCCACCGCGGUAAUAG